Molecule: ribosomal RNA, 647 nt
Filed under: Pleurotus sp. YL005
Lineage: Eukaryota; Fungi; Basidiomycota; Agaricomycetes; Agaricales; Pleurotaceae
Description: eukaryotic LSU rRNA
Rfam family: 5.8S ribosomal RNA (bases 275-428)
Source: RNAcentral
GCGUAACAAGGUUUCCGUAGGUGAACCUGCGGAAGGAUCAUUAAUGAAUUCACUAUGGAGUUGUUGCUGGCCUCUAGGGGCAUGUGCACGCUUCACUAGUCUUUCAACCACCUGUGAACUUUUGAUAGAUCUGUGAAGUCGUCUCUCAAGUCGUCAGACUUGGUUGCUGGGAUUUAAACGUCUCGGUGUGACUACGCAGUCUAUUUACUUACACACCCCAAAUGUAUGUCUACGAAUGUCAUUUAAUGGGCCUUGUGCCUUUAAACCAUAAUACAACUUUCAACAACGGAUCUCUUGGCUCUCGCAUCGAUGAAGAACGCAGCGAAAUGCGAUAAGUAAUGUGAAUUGCAGAAUUCAGUGAAUCAUCGAAUCUUUGAACGCACCUUGCGCCCCUUGGUAUUCCGAGGGGCAUGCCUGUUUGAGUGUCAUUAAAUUCUCAAACUCACUUUGGUUUCUUUCCAAUUGUGAUGUUUGGAUUGUUGGGGGCUGCUGGCCUUGACAGGUCGGCUCCUCUUAAAUGCAUUAGCAGGACUUCUCAUUGCCUCUGCGCAUGAUGUGAUAAUUAUCACUCAUCAAUAGCACGCAUGAAUAGAGUCCAGCUCUCUAAUCGUCCGCAAGGACAAUUUGACAAUUGACCUCAAAUCAGG